Long non-coding RNA from Hypanus sabinus (Atlantic stingray), 984 nucleotides. RefSeq lists it as uncharacterized. NCBI's taxonomy places the organism in Eukaryota, Metazoa, Chordata, Chondrichthyes, Myliobatiformes, Dasyatidae. The transcript has 3 exons. The record is from RefSeq and is a predicted model, not a curated record.
UAUUGCCUGCUUUUAGCCAGCACCGGGACCUCUGUCUGGCUGACAGUCGCGUUCACCUGUGACAGAUUUGUGGCCAUUUGUUGUGCAAAGCUGAAAAUAAAAUAUUGCACGGAAAGAACAGCGGCUGUGGUUAUCGGAACAAUGGAUCUCUUUCGCCAAUCAAGUCCGAAUGGGGCUCCGGGGCCGGAACAACGGAAAGAAUGACAAGGAUCCAGAGACGGAGAGCCGAAGGAAAUCGGUCGUUUUACUCUCCGUCUCACUGAUACACCGCCCUGCAGCCGAUCAGCGUUAUAUAACACCGGUAUAACUCAUGCAGUUUGAGUGGUUUGACGACUACAACAAAACUGUCCGGCAAGAUUAUAUGACAAGACCACCGCAUUCCAGAGAUGGCAAUGACCUGGGCUUAAUUCGGUUGUGUGAAUGCACCCCAUAUCCUCCUGAUGCUGACUGCUGUCUGAGUACAAUCACAAACAAGACUAACCUGCAAAUGCUGGAAAUCAAGGUACUACCCACAAGAUCCUGGAGGAACUCAGCAGGCCAUGCAGCAUCUAUGUAAAAGAGACGUUUCGGGCCUCGACCCUUCAACAAAGUGAUCCAGCACAAUAGGAUUGGACUUUUCUACCGUGAUUGCAGUGUCAGCGACAGAUCUUAGACAACCUGGCAUGCCUCUUACAAAUGGUGUAAUUGUGCAGAAUAAUAAGGAAUGGGUGGGCUGAGGCCCCCAUGUCGUCGUGUUAAAAUGCCGCUAGCAAACCCUUGUUGUACAUUCACAAAUAAUUGGAAAUGAGCUGGAUUGUCAGAUAUGUCCAGAGCAGAGGAAGUUGACAACGCGGUGUUAAGAGUAUUAAAGGCUGCGUUCUUUUCCUGAGUCUGUUGCAUUUCGGCAGACAUGCUCAGUAAUGCGGCUUGUCGAAGAGGAGCCUCCAUCAGUUGAUAUUCAGGAAUCCAAUGUCUACAAUAAUUGAAAAUUCCCAAAACGGGAAG